This is a long non-coding RNA of Neltuma alba, 186 nucleotides long. RefSeq lists it as uncharacterized. NCBI's taxonomy places the organism in Eukaryota, Viridiplantae, Streptophyta, Magnoliopsida, Fabales, Fabaceae. The record is from RefSeq and is a predicted model, not a curated record. The transcript is spliced from 4 exons.
GCUCUUCCAAUCUGCCUCUACUCGUGUCCUAGCUCGUAUGAGAGCUAGAUUUGCCUCAAUUGUUUGUCUCUUGCCUUCAGCUUUACUCAAGUUAGCUUCUGCUAUUUCAAGAGUUUGCUGAGCUUCUUGUGGAUCAAUAUCACUACCCUUCUCCGCAUCAUUUACUAAAAUAGAUCGGAGGAGCAC